RNAcentral lists this unclassified non-coding RNA (236 nucleotides) under Hevea brasiliensis (rubber tree). Lineage: Eukaryota; Viridiplantae; Streptophyta; Magnoliopsida; Malpighiales; Euphorbiaceae. The record is from RNAcentral.
AUGAAAAGAAGUAUGGUGGUAGAGCACUACUUGGCCACGAUCAGAAUAUUCAAAGAACCAUUAGUAGAAGAGCUGAUGGAAUGAGAUUUUGCUUGGAAGUGCCUCUGCCAAGUAGAAGUGCUCAGGUCUACAAGUUGACCCGAAUUCUAAGAGCAUGAUCACUCUAGUAAUCAAAGUGCCUCAUAUGAUGGACACAAAAGGAAAGGUUCUACAUUGCCCUAUACUGAUCAAUAUUG